CCCAAGUCUUUUUUUUUUUCCCAAACCCUCGACUCUUCUAAAAGCACACAGCUGAAAGCGAUUGAAAGAAGUCAGAGCACCACUUGUUGAAGGGGGUGUGGGUUAUUCACCUCUGAAGUCUUCUUUCCCAAGUUGGCACUGCCAUUUGUGAAAAAGGAGACUCCCUAUCAAUAUACUUAAGUACUGACUGGGUUAAAUACAGGAAAUCUAGACCUUCUACAAGUUUAAACUUAUGGAAUGAUUGCCACACCUCCUAAACCAUGAGCGGUUAAUAAUUGUGGUGUAAUAGCAUUUUGGAAACUCUGUCUACUGAGCUGUGGAGAGACAGCAGGCAGUUGCUUGGAAGACAUUUCCAAAGGUUCCGCUACUGGGCCGGACCAUUUAGCAUCUGAGGCACCAAGGAAAACACAAAGGAUUGUCGGUGUCAGGUCUGAGGCAGAAACAAGCUUUGAAAUACGGGAGAGGAUAACAAAGCAAAGCCUCAACAGCUUGGAUGCUGAAUGA
This 504-nucleotide long non-coding RNA is filed under the name Ornithorhynchus anatinus (platypus). Its description in RNAcentral is "lncRNA (ENSOANG00000041978.1)". The record is from RNAcentral. Lineage: Eukaryota; Metazoa; Chordata; Mammalia; Monotremata; Ornithorhynchidae.